CGGAACGGGUGAGUAAUACAUCGGAACGUGUCCCGUAGUGGGGGAGUAGCCCGGCGAAAGCCGGAUUAAUACCGCAUAUGCUCUACGGAGGAAAGUGGGGGACCCGGCAAGGGCCUCACGCUAUGGGAGCGGCCGAUGUCCGAUUAGCUUGUUGGCGGGGUAAUGGCCCACCAAGGCGACGAUCGGUAGCUGGUCUGAGAGGACGAUCAGCCACACGGGGACUGAGACACGGCCCAG
This 237-nucleotide ribosomal RNA is filed under the name uncultured bacterium. Its description in RNAcentral is "partial 16S ribosomal RNA". It matches the Rfam family "Bacterial small subunit ribosomal RNA", at positions 100 to 334 of the family's 1533-position model. The record is from RNAcentral.